GACGAACGCUGGCGGCGUGCUUAACACAUGCAAGUCGAACGGAAAGGCCCUGCUUUUGCGGGGUGCUCGAGUGGCGAACGGGUGAGUAACACGUGAGUAACCUGCCCUUGACUUUGGGAUAACUUCAGGAAACUGGGGCUAAUACCGGAUAGGAGCUCCUGCUGCAUGGUGGGGGUUGGAAAGUUUCGGCGGUUGGGGAUAGACUCGCGGCUUAUCAGCUUGUUGGUGGGGUAGUGGCUUACCAAGGCUUUGACGGGUAGCCGGCCUGAGAGGGUGACCGGCCACAUUGGGACUGAGAUACGGACCAGACUCCUACGGGAGGCAGCAGUGGGGAAUAUUGCGCAAUGGGCGGAAGCCUGAUGCAGCGACGCCGCGUGCGGGAUGACGGCCUUCGGGUUGUAAACAGCUUUCGCCUGUGACGAAGCGUGAGUGACGGUAAUGGAUAAAGAAGCACCGGCUAACUACGUG
This 468-nucleotide ribosomal RNA is filed under the name uncultured bacterium. RNAcentral describes it as "partial 16S ribosomal RNA". It matches the Rfam family "Bacterial small subunit ribosomal RNA", at positions 28 to 507 of the family's 1533-position model. The record is from RNAcentral.